RNAcentral lists this ribosomal RNA (486 nucleotides) under uncultured bacterium. RNAcentral's name for it is "bacterial SSU rRNA". It matches the Rfam family "Bacterial small subunit ribosomal RNA", at positions 43 to 524 of the family's 1533-position model. The record is from RNAcentral.
CAGGCCUAACACAUGCAAGUCGAACGGCAGCACGGGAGCAAUCCUGGUGGCGAGUGGCGAACGGGUGAGUAAUACAUCGGAACGUACCCAGUUGUGGGGGAUAGCUCGGCGAAAGCCGGAUUAAUACCGCAUACGACCUGAGGGUGAAAGCGGGGGAUCGCAAGACCUCGCGCAGUUGGAGCGGCCGAUGUCAGAUUAGCUAGUUGGUGGGGUAAAGGCCUACCAAGGCGACGAUCUGUAGCUGGUCUGAGAGGACGACCAGCCACACUGGGACUGAGACACGGCCCAGACUCCUACGGGAGGCAGCAGUGGGGAAUUUUGGACAAUGGGCGCAAGCCUGAUCCAGCCAUGCCGCGUGCGGGAAGAAGGCCUUCGGGUUGUAAACCGCUUUUGUCAGGGAAGAAACGGCCUGUGUUAAUACCACGGGUUAAUGACGGUACCUGGAGAAUAAGCACCGGCUAACUACGUGCCAGCAGCCGCGGUAAU